RNAcentral lists this ribosomal RNA (253 nucleotides) under uncultured bacterium. Its description in RNAcentral is "partial 16S ribosomal RNA". It matches the Rfam family "Bacterial small subunit ribosomal RNA", at positions 524 to 776 of the family's 1533-position model. The record is from RNAcentral.
UGCGUAGGGGGCUAGCGUUGUCCGGAUUUAUUGGGCGUAAAGAGCGUGUAGGCGGCCAGGUAAGUCUGCUGUGAAAACUCGAGGCUUAACCUCGAGAUGUCGGCGGAAACCAUCUGGCUAGAGUCCGGAAGAGGAGAGUGGAAUUCCUGGUGUAGCGGUGAAAUGCGCAGAUAUCAGGAAGAACACCCGUGGCGAAGGCGGCUCUCUGGGACGGUACUGACGCUGAGACGCGAAAGCGUGGGGAGCGAACAGG